CACUGGUCUGACAGUAGUGGGUCAUCAGAAUUUAUUAACAUUAGUGUUGCUAAAGUUAGUAUACAACCCCCCACUGCUAAAUGACUAUCUU
Molecule: small RNA, 91 nt
Filed under: Microcebus murinus (gray mouse lemur)
Lineage: Eukaryota; Metazoa; Chordata; Mammalia; Primates; Cheirogaleidae
Description: Y RNA (ENSMICG00000021121.3)
Source: RNAcentral